Molecule: ribosomal RNA, 266 nt
Filed under: uncultured bacterium
Lineage: Bacteria
Description: partial 16S ribosomal RNA
Rfam family: Bacterial small subunit ribosomal RNA
Source: RNAcentral
AGUGGCGAACGGGUGAGUAACACGUGGGCAACCUGCCCAAAAGAGGGGGAUAACACUUGGAAACAGGUGCUAAUACCGCAUAACCAUAGUUACCGCAUGGUAACUAUGUAAAAGGUGGCUAUGCUACCGCUUUUGGAUGGGCCCGCGGCGCAUUAGCUAGUUGGUGGGGUAAAGGCUUACCAAGGUAAUGAUGCGUAGCCGAACUGAGAGGUUGAUCGGCCACAUUGGGACUGAGACACGGCCCAAACUCCUACGGGAGGCAGCAG